UAAAAAAAGAUAAGCUAAAUUUAA
RNAcentral lists this transfer RNA (24 nucleotides) under Tetraclita rubescens. Its description in RNAcentral is "partial tRNA-Met". Lineage: Eukaryota; Metazoa; Arthropoda; Thecostraca; Balanomorpha; Tetraclitidae. The record is from RNAcentral.